This 1400-nucleotide ribosomal RNA is filed under the name Streptomyces sp. RNAcentral's name for it is "bacterial SSU rRNA". It matches the Rfam family "Bacterial small subunit ribosomal RNA". Lineage: Bacteria; Bacillati; Actinomycetota; Actinomycetes; Kitasatosporales; Streptomycetaceae. The record is from RNAcentral.
GACGAACGCUGGCGGCGUGCUUAACACAUGCAAGUCGAACGAUGAAGCCGCUUCGGUGGUGGAUUAGUGGCGAACGGGUGAGUAACACGUGGGCAAUCUGCCCUUCACUCUGGGACAAGCCCUGGAAACGGGGUCUAAUACCGGAUAACGACUCUGUCCCGCAUGGGACGGGGUUGAAAGCUCCGGCGGUGAAGGAUGAGCCCGCGGCCUAUCAGCUUGUUGGUGGGGUAAUGGCCUACCAAGGCGACGACGGGUAGCCGGCCUGAGAGGGCGACCGGCCACACUGGGACUGAGACACGGCCCAGACUCCUACGUGGAGGCAGCAGUGGGGAAUAUUGCACAAUGGGCGAAAGCCUGAUGCAGCGACGCCGCGUGAGGGAUGACGGCCUUCGGGUUGUAAACCUCUUUCAGCAGGGAAGAAGCGAAAGUGACGGUACCUGCAGAAGAAGCGCCGGCUAACUACGUGCCAGCAGCCGCGGUAAUACGUAGGGCGCAAGCGUUGUCCGGAAUUAUUGGGCGUAAAGAGCUCGUAGGCGGCUUGUCACGUCGGAUGUGAAAGCCCGGGGCUUAACCCCGGGUCUGCAUUCGAUACGGGCUAGCUAGAGUGUGGUAGGGGAGAUCGGAAUUCCUGGUGUAGCGGUGAAAUGCGCAGAUAUCAGGAGGAACACCGGUGGCGAAGGCGGAUCUCUGGGCCAUUACUGACGCUGAGGAGCGAAAGCGUGGGGAGCGAACAGGAUUAGAUACCCUGGUAGUCCACGCCGUAAACGUUGGGAACUAGGUGUUGGCGACAUUCCACGUCGUCGGUGCCGCAGCUAACGCAUUAAGUUCCCCGCCUGGGGAGUACGGGCCGCAAGGCUAAAACUCAAAGGAAUUGACGGGGGGCCCGCACAAGCAGCGGAGCAUGUGGCUUAAUUCGACGCAACGCGAAGAACCUUACCAAAGGCUUGACAUAUACCGGAAAGCAUCAGAGAUGGUGCCCCCCUUGUGGUCGGUAUACAGGUGGUGCAUGGCUGUCGUCAGCUCGUGUCGUGAGAUGUUGGGUUAAGUCCCGCAACGAGCGCAACCCUUGUUCUGUGUUGCCAGCAUGCCCUUCGGGGUGAUGGGGACUCACAGGAGACUGCCGGGGUCAACUCGGAGGAAGGUGGGGACGACGUCAAGUCAUCAUGCCCCUUAUGUCUUGGGCUGCACACGUGCUACAAUGGCCGGUACAAUGAGCUGCGAUGCCGCGAGGCGGAGCGAAUCUCAAAAAGCCGGUCUCAGUUCGGAUUGGGGUCUGCAACUCGACCCCAUGAAGUCGGAGUUGCUAGUAAUCGCAGAUCAGCAUUGCUGCGGUGAAUACGUUCCCGGGCCUUGUACACACCGCCCGUCACGUCACGAAAGUCGGUAACACCCGAAGCCGG